AGCAGCCGCGGUAAUUCCAGCUCCAAUAGCGUAUAUUAAAGUUGUUGCAGUUAAAAGCUCGUAGUUGAAUUUCGGGAUCAAUACGUCGGUCGUGCUUCGGUACGUACUGGCGUCAUUGAUUUCUCCCUUCUGACGAACCAUGAUGUCAUUAACUUGGUGUCAUGGGAAAUCAGGACUGUUACUUUGAAAAAAUUAGAGUGUUUAAAGCAGGCUCACGCUUGAAUACAUUAGCAUGGAAUAAUGAAAUAGGACGUUCGAUCCUAUUUUGUUGGUUUUUAGGAUCAACGUAAUGAUUAAUAGGGAUAGUUGGGGGCAUUAGUAUUCAAUUGUCAGAGGUGAAAUUCUUGGAUUUAUUGAAGACUAACUACUGCGAAAGCAUUUGCCAAGGAUGUUUUCAUUAAUCAAGAACGAAAGUUAGGGGAUCGAAGACGAUCAGAUACCGUCGUAGUCUUAACCAUAAACUAUGCCGACUAGGGAUCGGAUGAUGUUAAUUUUUUAAUGACUCAUUCGGCGCCUUACG
Molecule: ribosomal RNA, 520 nt
Filed under: uncultured Glomus
Lineage: Eukaryota; Fungi; Glomeromycota; Glomeromycetes; Glomerales; Glomeraceae
Description: SSU rRNA
Rfam family: Eukaryotic small subunit ribosomal RNA
Source: RNAcentral